Molecule: ribosomal RNA, 375 nt
Filed under: uncultured organism
Description: partial 16S ribosomal RNA
Rfam family: Bacterial small subunit ribosomal RNA
Source: RNAcentral
GUAGGUGGCAAGCGUUGUCCGGAAUUAUUGGGCGUAAAGCGCGCGCAGGCGGGGUCCUUUAAGUCUGAUGUGAAAGCCCACGGGCUCAACCGUGGAGGGUCAUUGGAAACUGGGGGACUUGAGUACAGAAGAGGAAAGCGGAAUUCCAAGUGUAGCGGUGAAAUGCGUAGAGAUUUGGAGGAACACCAGUGGCGAAGGCGGCCUUCUGGUCUGUAACUGACGCUGAGGCGCGAAAGCGUGGGGAGCAAACAGGAUUAGAUACCCUGGUAGUCCACGCCGUAAACGAUGAGUGCUAAGUGUUAGGGGGUUUCCGCCCCUUAGUGCUGCAGCUAACGCAUUAAGCACUCCGCCUGGGGAGUACGGCCGCAAAGGCUG